RNAcentral lists this ribosomal RNA (253 nucleotides) under uncultured bacterium. RNAcentral's name for it is "partial 16S ribosomal RNA". It matches the Rfam family "Bacterial small subunit ribosomal RNA", at positions 524 to 776 of the family's 1533-position model. The record is from RNAcentral.
UACGAAGGGGGCUAGCGUUGCUCGGAAUGACUGGGCGUAAAGGGCGCGUAGGCGGCUGGCACAGUCAGAUGUGAAAUUCCCGGGCUUAACCUGGGGGCUGCAUUUGAUACGUGUUGUCUUGAGUUCGGAAGAGGGUCGUGGAAUUCCCAGUGUAGAGGUGAAAUGCGCAGAUAUCGGGAAGAACACCCGUGGCGAAGGCGGCUCUCUGGGACGGUACUGACGCUGAGACGCGAAAGCGUGGGGAGCGAACAGG